UGGGGAAUCUUGCGCAAUGGGCGGAAGCCUGACGCAGCAACGCCGCGUGUGGGAAGACGGCUUUCGGGUUGUAAACCACUUUCAGGGGGGACGAAGCUUCCGAGGUUAAUAGCCUACGGGGUGACGGUACCCCCAGAAGAAGCCCCGGCUAACUACGUGCCAGCAGCCGCGGUAAUACGUAGGGGGCGAGCGUUGUCCGGAAUCAUUGGGCGUAAAGCGCGUGUAGGCGGCUCGAUAAGUCCGGUGUGAAAUCUUGGGGCUCAACCCCAAGCCUGCACUGGAUACUGUCGCGCUUGAGUCCGGGAGAGGAGAGCGGAAUUCCUAGUGUAGCGGUGAAAUGCGCAGAUAUUAGGAAGAACACCGGUGGCGAAGGCGGCUCUCUGGAACGGUACUGACGCUGAGACGCGAAAGCGUGGGGAGC
RNAcentral lists this ribosomal RNA (421 nucleotides) under uncultured bacterium. RNAcentral describes it as "bacterial SSU rRNA". It matches the Rfam family "Bacterial small subunit ribosomal RNA", at positions 355 to 769 of the family's 1533-position model. The record is from RNAcentral.